AGGCCAAGGGCGAAAACACGUGAACUAUGAAGUCCAACAGAAAAGACUCGAGCAAAGAAAAUAGAGCAGAUUUUUUAGACGAAUUUCAGUCGUGUUUUUUCUCUACGAGUCGUCUUGCGUCAUUUCCCUGGACAUUUUUAGAAAACGACCUGGAAAGCAGCAAAUCAUCACAAUUAAUUUUAGAUGUCCUCAAACAGACUUGUCUUCACGCGCUGUGCAAGAAGUUCCCGCCAUCAGUGCGAUACAGGAAGUUGUUUCUGGUCGAGCUGAUCAGGCGGGUGGAGGCUGCCGACUGCGAGCCUCUGGACGAGCUCUAUGACUCUCUUGCUGAGGUGGUGUCGGCCCAGGAAGCAGCGGAAGGAUACAGAACUUUCUUACUGGUACCACACACACACACACACAUACUUGGCGACAUCAUAGAGAGCGCCCAUGUUGAGUUUGUCCUGCAGCCAUGUGGCGGCACCGUCAGCUUGUUGGAGAACCUGGCAUUGAUCUCAGAGGGGACGACGGGGCUCGUGACCUGGGAGGCCGCCCACUACCUGGCCGAGUGGGCAUUGGACCACCCACAGACAUUUGCUGGCAGAAAGGUUCUGGAGCUGGGCAGUGGUGUUGGCUUCACGGGCGUCACCGUGUGUCGUUCCUGCGGCCCGUCCAAGUACGUCUUCAGCGACGGUCACAGCAGCGUCCUGCAGAGACUUGAGGACAACGUGCGGCUCAACGGACUCCUCCAAGAGGAGACGCCGCCUGAGGUCAGCGUGGAAAAGCUGGACUGGUCGGACGUGACGGAGGAACGCUUGGAUGCCAUCGGUGCCGACGUGGUUAUCGCUGCAGCCACUCCUCUUCAAAGACGUGGCGUACGAUCCAGACGUUGUAGCGGUUCUGGUCCAGCUUCUGUCCAGAAUCCUGAGGAGGAAGUGUGGGCGUGUCCUUCCUGAGGUCUUCAUCUGCUCCACGGUGAGGAAUCGGCAGACGUACGAUGGCUUCACGAAGCAGCUUGGUGACGCAGGGAUCAGCCAUCGUGUGAUCAGUGGAGCUGUUAGUCACGUGUUUCAGUACAAGCGAGUGUCAGAAGUAGAGCUGAUUAAAUUGUACGUGUGACAAUAAAAAUGUAUUUUAUUUACAAA
This is an RNA transcript of Dunckerocampus dactyliophorus (ringed pipefish), 1124 nucleotides long. It is a transcript of the gene named eukaryotic elongation factor 2 lysine methyltransferase, with no coding region annotated. The record is from RefSeq and is a predicted model, not a curated record. NCBI's taxonomy places the organism in Eukaryota, Metazoa, Chordata, Actinopteri, Syngnathiformes, Syngnathidae. The transcript has 8 exons.